Molecule: transfer RNA, 92 nt
Filed under: Methanobacteriota archaeon
Lineage: Archaea; Methanobacteriati; Methanobacteriota
Description: Euryarchaeota archaeon tRNA-His(atg)
Source: RNAcentral
GAGGAGUUUGGAAAAUGGUUGCGACGCCUAUGGCGUGUUGGUAGAUUAGAACGAAUGUUCGGUUCGGAUGGUUCUGAUUCCUAUGUUCCUUU